CAGUAGCCACGGUAAUACGUAGGUCCCGAGCGUUGUCCGGAUUUAUUGGGCGUAAAGCGAGCGCAGGCGGUUAGAUAAGUCUGAAGUUAAAGGCUGUGGCUUAACCAUAGUACGCUUUGGAAACUGUUUAACUUGAGUGCAAGAGGGGGGAGUGGAAUUCCAUGUGUAGCGGUGAAAUGCGUAGAUAUAUGGAGGAACACCGGUGGCGAAAGCGGCUCUCUGGCUUGUAACUGACGCUGAGGCUCGAAAGCGUGGGGAGCAAACAGGAUUAGAUACCCCCGUAGUCCCUGUCUCUUAUACA
Molecule: ribosomal RNA, 301 nt
Filed under: uncultured bacterium
Lineage: Bacteria
Description: partial 16S ribosomal RNA
Rfam family: Bacterial small subunit ribosomal RNA
Source: RNAcentral